This 1083-nucleotide long non-coding RNA is filed under the name Mus musculus (house mouse). RNAcentral describes it as "predicted gene, 30605". The record is from RNAcentral. Lineage: Eukaryota; Metazoa; Chordata; Mammalia; Rodentia; Muridae.
AGUCCCAGAUACUCUGAGUGAUGGCUACAAAGAGUCACAAAGAUGGUGAGUAAAUCCUGGCUUUCCACCCAGCAUUAACCAGGCCCAGCUUCCAGCUCCCGGCCCUUUGCAAGUGCCUGGCUAAUUCAGAAACUUGAAAGGCCCAACAUGGGGCUGAUACUUUUGUUCACCACUGACUGGCAGUCCUGAAAUGGUCAUAGCCCACCUGGACUGAGGAAAUUAGGGAGAUCUUUGUCCUGUACUAGAGGUUUUCAUUGCAUACAGGCUAGCGGGGAGGGAGAGAGGAAGGGAAAUGUCCCCAUAGUCAAUCACUAAACUGAACUGUUCUGUCUCAUUAGCUAGUUAAUAAGGCUCCAUUCCACUAGAAGUUCUAGUGUCUAUAUUCAGGAGCUGCUGGUCGUGUGAUCCCCCCAUUGAUUCUGAGUCAUUGUUCAACUACUUAAACAUACCAAAUUAAUGCUUUAAAAUUUUUAGGACGCUGGAUAUUGAACCCAAAGUCUUGUGCAUGGCUAGGCAGGUACUCCUCCAUCGAGAUCCCCUGGGUCCCUGGAUCCUACAUUGUCCUUUAUUAACUCUCAGUUGACAGGAGGGGGAAACUUUUGAUUCAUAGCGUCUUAAGAAUGAGUCCAAGAAGAUGGGGAUGGGAGCGUGAGGCACUGCACUGACUUACGUGCUUGAAAGAUGCUUUUGUUUUAAAGCAGGGUUGCAGUGAGGGUGGAGUGGUCCAGCAGGAAAUUACACAUAAAUUUUACUGAAGAUCAAAACCACCUUAGAACUGCAAGUGAUACAAUUAUGCAUCUGUUUUGACUUAUAGCUAAGGAAUCUCGACAGGCUCCUUGAUUUCCUAGUGGGUGGUGCUAUUCGAUAGAUCACUGUGGGAAUAUCUUUGAGGGUUACAAUCUAGCUCUACCUCCAGUCCUGCUUUCUGUUUCCCGAGUGGCUGAGAUAUGAAGAACGGAUUCCACCUCAGGAUCCUAUUAACAAGGAUAGAUCUGGGGAACAUUUCUGUAGCCACACCUUCCCCACCAUAACAGACCUAAACCCUCCAAAAUCAUGAGUCUGAAUAAAUCUUCCCAGUCUUAA